RNAcentral lists this ribosomal RNA (1511 nucleotides) under Salmonella enterica. Its description in RNAcentral is "partial 23S ribosomal RNA". It matches the Rfam family "Bacterial large subunit ribosomal RNA", at positions 1309 to 2803 of the family's 2925-position model. Lineage: Bacteria; Pseudomonadati; Pseudomonadota; Gammaproteobacteria; Enterobacterales; Enterobacteriaceae. The record is from RNAcentral.
ACGAUAAAGCGGGUGAAAAGCCCGCUCGCCGGAAGACCAAGGGUUCCUGUCCAACGUUAAUCGGGGCAGGGUGAGUCGACCCCUAAGGCGAGGCCGAAAGGCGUAGUCGAUGGGAAACGGGUUAAUAUUCCCGUACUUGGUGUUACUGCGAAGGGGGGACGGAGAAGGCUAUGUUGGCCGGGCGACGGUUGUCCCGGUUUAAGCGUGUAGGUGUGUGUUCCAGGUAAAUCCGGUUCACUUUAACACUGAGGCGUGACGACGAGGCACUACGGUGCUGAAGCAACAAAUGCCCUGCUUCCAGGAAAAGCCUCUAAGCAUCAGGUAACACGAAAUCGUACCCCAAACCGACACAGGUGGUCAGGUAGAGAAUACCAAGGCGCUUGAGAGAACUCGGGUGAAGGAACUAGGCAAAAUGGUGCCGUAACUUCGGGAGAAGGCACGCUGACACGUAGGUGAAGUGAUUUACUCAUGGAGCUGAAGUCAGUCGAAGAUACCAGCUGGCUGCAACUGUUUAUUAAAAACACAGCACUGUGCAAACACGAAAGUGGACGUAUACGGUGUGACGCCUGCCCGGUGCCGGAAGGUUAAUUGAUGGGGUCAGCGCAAGCGAAGCUCCUGAUCGAAGCCCCGGUAAACGGCGGCCGUAACUAUAACGGUCCUAAGGUAGCGAAAUUCCUUGUCGGGUAAGUUCCGACCUGCACGAAUGGCGUAAUGAUGGCCAGGCUGUCUCCACCCGAGACUCAGUGAAAUUGAACUCGCUGUGAAGAUGCAGUGUACCCGCGGCAAGACGGAAAGACCCCGUGAACCUUUACUAUAGCUUGACACUGAACAUUGAGCCUUGAUGUGUAGGAUAGGUGGGAGGCUUUGAAGCGUGGACGCCAGUCUGCGUGGAGCCGACCUUGAAAUACCACCCUUUAAUGUUUGAUGUUCUAACGUGGACCCGUGAUCCGGGUUGCGGACAGUGUCUGGUGGGUAGUUUGACUGGGGCGGUCUCCUCCUAAAGAGUAACGGAGGAGCACGAAGGUUGGCUAAUCCUGGUCGGACAUCAGGAGGUUAGUGCAAUGGCAUAAGCCAGCUUGACUGCGAGCGUGACGGCGCGAGCAGGUGCGAAAGCAGGUCAUAGUGAUCCGGUGGUUCUGAAUGGAAGGGCCAUCGCUCAACGGAUAAAAGGUACUCCGGGGAUAACAGGCUGAUACCGCCCAAGAGUUCAUAUCGACGGCGGUGUUUGGCACCUCGAUGUCGGCUCAUCACAUCCUGGGGCUGAAGUAGGUCCCAAGGGUAUGGCUGUUCGCCAUUUAAAGUGGUACGCGAGCUGGGUUUAGAACGUCGUGAGACAGUUCGGUCCCUAUCUGCCGUGGGCGCUGGAGAACUGAGGGGGGCUGCUCCUAGUACGAGAGGACCGGAGUGGACGCAUCACUGGUGUUCGGGUUGUCAUGCCAAUGGCACUGCCCGGUAGCUAAAUGCGGAAGAGAUAAGUGCUGAAAGCAUCUAAGCACGAAACUUGCCCCGAG